UAAAUAUAUUUGUAGUGGUUUGAUGAGACCUCUUUGUAUUAAAUAUAUUGCAAACACUUUCAGCGUUUUUUUUCACGAACAUCGAGAAUAUGUGGAUGUACAUAAUAAAGAUGUAUGUAAUUACCAAAAUGCAAACAUACAGGCUAUUAAAAUAGUAAUCGAACACACAGCAUGAAUACUUAACUUCCGAAUUAAUGGCAUAAGUUGAACAAUUUAAUUAAUUAGGUUGGUCUAGGUAGGGUAUAUAUGAAUAUUGAUACUAUUACUAUUUUUGGCAAAAAUGUAACAAAUACGAAUUGCGAUUUAACAUUCAAACUUUAACGUGUUGUAUGUACAUAUGAAUUCUAUUUAUUGUCAUAAGUUCAUUCACCGAUUCAUUGCGAAUAGUUUGGUUUUCUAAUAUGUACUACUCUGAUGUGCGAUCACAAGAAUUAGAUAUUUACUCGUAUAUGUACUAUAUGUAGUUAUGUAGAUGUGUAUACAUAUCUGCUUAUCUGAAAUGUAUGUAUAUGACAUACA
This is a long non-coding RNA of Rhagoletis zephyria (snowberry fruit fly), 519 nucleotides long. RefSeq lists it as uncharacterized. The record is from RefSeq and is a predicted model, not a curated record. NCBI's taxonomy places the organism in Eukaryota, Metazoa, Arthropoda, Insecta, Diptera, Tephritidae.